Molecule: long non-coding RNA, 2521 nt
Filed under: Carica papaya (papaya)
Lineage: Eukaryota; Viridiplantae; Streptophyta; Magnoliopsida; Brassicales; Caricaceae
Description: long non-coding RNA (CPAP_LNC003000)
Source: RNAcentral
UUUCAAGCUAUAAUAUUAUCGUUCCCUUCAUUUUUUUCUCAUUCUUUCUAGUUCUGCAGUAACGAAGAUGUCCAUGCAAAUGAAUCGUAUGAUGAGAGCAAAUUACGAAGUGCCAAUACAAACGCCAUAUAAAAUCAGAGUUAUGCAAGGAAUUAUGACAACAUAUAAAUCAUCAUCAACAAAUUAUUAUUGCAAGUUGGCGAAGCCAUUAAGGAGUGGUAAAAACUUUUAUCAAGUUUUGUCUCUGAAAUCUAAUAAUGUGAGUGUUCAGGAGAUAAAGAAAGCAUAUAGGAGCAUGGUUCUUCAAUACCAUCCUGAUGUCUGUCUUCAUAAUUCUUCCAUAGAAUACUUUACAAAACGCUUCAUUGAGGUUCAAGAGGCUUAUGAGAUAUUAUCAGAUCCUGUGUCGAGAAGAAUGUAUGAUUUUGAGUUGGGAUUGAUUAAUUCCAUGCAUCAGUUUCAAAAGAUUCAUAGGGAGGAGAAAAUAUCAAAAUUUUCUAGAGAGAAUUGGGAAAAACAACUACUUGAAUUGAAACGACAAUCUUAUAUUCGAAUGAAAAAGAAAAAUAAUGUAUGAUACUUAAAGAGAAUAUGUUUAAUUCAUUUAUUUAUACAAUAUUCUUAUUUUUAUUAUGUUAUUAUUUUUAAAUAUUUGAGAAACAUUUCAUGUUUGAAUAUUGAAUAGAUUAAUAAUUAUUCGUACAUAUUUUUCUUUUCCCUUAUAAAGUAUGUUAUUUUCUUUUUAAUUUCGAUUUGUCACUGAAAAUAAUAUAAAUUGUUUGCGUUAUGUUUACAAGCAUAAGCUUGGUACAUAUGGUUAGAUUAUAAUGGAAAUCAUAUCAUUAUUUGGGUAGAGUUGGUCUAAAAAUCUAUAAGUAUUUUGAUGUUUGAAAUAAGUAUAUGAUGCACAAACUUUUAAGUUUGAUUGAUAUGAGAGUAACAUCCCUAACAAUCAUUUCAAGCAAAACACAAAUAUAGUUGUAGCUAAAGCUGCCCAAAUAUAAGUCGUUAGAAAUUGCCUCUUAUAAGAUUAGCAUCCCCUAAUGUACAUUAGUUGAUUAAUUAAUACUGAUUUGAAUAUUGUUAUUGGAAAAUAUUCUAUGAAUAUUUUACAAAUAUUCUAAUAUUCUAUGAAUAUUAUACAAAUAUUCUAAUAUUUUGUGAAUAUGUGUUAUUAUUAACUGUUUCAAUCGUAAAUGCAUGUAUUGUUUCCCUGUCAACUCAAUUUGUUUCCUGUAUAUAUGCAUAAAUUCUGUAUCAUAUCAAUACAAUAAAAUAUAUAUAUAUAUAUAUAUAUAUAGUGAUUCUUCAUGAAAACACUCCAGAAUUCAUGAAGUAUUAAAUGCACCUACACAUCCAUUACUUUUUAAGUGAUAAGUAGUCUAAUGCCAUGCAGGAACCCAGAGAGUUAAAUGAGCCUAAAGUCAUAGGGCCUCUGCAUGGCAAUUCCCAUUAAUUUAUUUAUUCGGCCUUCCAUCAUUUCCAUGGACUUUCAUAGCUAUUAAAGCCCAGUAUAUAUAUAUAAUACAAAAAAAAAAAAGAAAAAAGAAGAAAGAAAAUCACCCAACAACAUUGUAUGUUGUGUGUAUAUAUAUAUAUAUAUAUAUAUGUAUGUAUAUAUGUAUUAAAGUGGCAAAGAAUUCAAGUUGAGACAACCCUAGUUGGAAUUAAGGGUUAAUCAGGGCAACCCUAGUUGCAUCUAUAAAUCCUGAAUUUGAGCACUAAUUAAAUUUUAAAUUAUUAUUUGAUCCUCUCUAUUGCUUGUAUUUCGCAAGCUAGCAGCUUAACUUAUUCCAGGAGCAAUUCAAGAUUUUCAUUGUAUUCAUCGCCGUUUCAAUCAAGGAAGAUUUAAACAAUGAAUUAAUUCAUUUUUCAAUUACUAAAUGUACGGUGUAUAUAUACCAUAAAACACAAAGGAGUAACUAAUUAAUUAGAUAAAAAAGGAUUAAAAAACUAAUGAUUCUAUAAAAUAGUUCAAUUUGAACCUAUUCAUUUCUUCUGAUGCAUAUUCACCAAAAUUUCAAGUUACAGAAAAAGAUGUGCUUGAACUUAAGGUACAAAAUCAAAAAGAAAGGAAAGUUUGUGGUCGUUGGUCAUGGUGGUGGUAGUGACAGCGACAAGAACAGUCACGGGGAGGAAGAGAGCAAAGGAUUGUUGUUGAGAGAAAUUGACAAGUGGAAGAAGAAAGACAAGCCGUCUGAUGAUCAUCAUCCCAACAUAUCGAGUAAGUAAGAAGAUCAUGAUGCAUGACUAAUCACCAAUUACGAGUACAACUCCACUUCUGAUCAUCGCAUAAAUUCUCUUGCUAAUUUUGUCUUUAAUUAAUUAAUGAUGUCAGUACUUAUAUAUAUACAUACCUGUCUCUCUUCAUUUUUAUUUGAUAUUGAAUGGCUUUGAAAAAGUUCAAUUAGUUGAUAUUAUAUAAGCCUGAAACUGUGUGUGGCACUUUUUUAUUAAUAAUGUUAACGGCCUGAUUAAGUACUACAAGUCUUUAGUUUGAUUAAUUUAUACAAAUUAUUUG